RNAcentral lists this ribosomal RNA (503 nucleotides) under uncultured bacterium. RNAcentral's name for it is "partial 16S ribosomal RNA". It matches the Rfam family "Bacterial small subunit ribosomal RNA", at positions 29 to 507 of the family's 1533-position model. The record is from RNAcentral.
AACGAACGCUGGCGGCGUGCCUAACACAUGCAAGUCGAACGAGAAAGGGGCUUCGGCUCCGAGUAAAGUGGCGCACGGGUGAGUAACACGUGGGUAACCUGCCUCUAAGAUUGGGAUAACUCGUCGAAAGAUGAGCUAAUACCGAAUAAGACCACAGUUCCCGCGGGAACAGGGGUCAAAGGUAGCCCCUGCUUGCAAGCUAUCACUUAGAGAUGGGCCUGCGCACCAUUAGCUAGUUGGUAGGGUAACGGCCUACCAAGGCAAAGAUGGUUAGCUGGUCUGAGAGGAUGGUCAGCCACACUGGAACUGAGACACGGUCCAGACUCCUACGGGAGGCAGCAGUGGGGAAUAUUGCGCAAUGGGCGAAAGCUUGACGCAGCAACGCCGCGUGAGUGAUGAAGGCCUUCGGGUCGUAAAGCUCUGUCGGGAGGAACGAAUGCUCCUGAGGUUAACAGCCUCGGGAGGUGACGGUACCUUCAAAGGAAGCACCGGCUAACUCUGUG